GGAAUUUCAAAAUAUCCAUCUCUUGCUCAAGGCACAAUAGUAUGUCCUGAUCUGAGCUCACUUUGAACCAACUGCAUUCUUCUAAAUAUUAACAUUAUGAAGCUGUCAGUAGGCAUUACAACUGUAUAUAAAGACUAAAGAUUUCAUUCACUUUUAGGUAAAGCAAGAUUAUGAAAAGAAAAAUGAAGUGGGAAAAAAAAAAAUGAAGUGGGAUUUCCCCAUACACUUUUGGCAGACGGGAAGCAACAAGCUUCAUUUGCAGCUAAUGAGAAGCCUAUAUGUUGGCAUUCCAGAACUGGCCUCAUGACUCUACCUCAUGAAUAUCUCAGGAUCUUGCUUCUGCUCGUCAUCUUUGCCAAGAGACUCCCAUCUCACAGCUUCCUUGUGGUCACAACACAAGUGCCUCUGUUCUGCACUGAAGGCAGGAAAGAGAAUAAGAAAAAGCCCUGCUUCUGCGGAAAGCAGACUCCCUAGCAGAACUAUGUCACUAGGACAAACCCAAAGCCUGGAAACAUAUUCUUGUAGACGGUUUGUAUUGCAAAGACACUCCACAAAGAAGGAUUACAUGGCUUCUAGAGAGCACUACCUCAAAAUAUGAAAAAAUUACUUAAUGGAUUUAUGCAGAACUCCCACUUCUGGCCAUGACAAAGUAACUGAUUCUACACUUGUCUUCCAAAAAGUAAGUAUCAAAGAGGAAACAAUAUAUGAUUCUUAACAAAUAUCCAAUCCUAGAUGGUUCAGGAUUGCAAAAAUUAAGAGAAGCAUGUGGGGUGAGCCCACAACCACUCCAGGUAUUGGUUCAUCAACCUGAGCAUUCAACUGAGAUUACAGAAAGGCCACACUUUAGGAAGAAGAUCAAACAACAGAACAAGAGCUAUCAUAUGGGACUACUUUCAAAAUUAAAAGAUCUUAUAACAAGUUUUUUUUAAAAAAAGGAAGGGGGAAGCAUGGUAUACUUAAAGUCAUCUGACACCUCCUAAACAAAAAUCGCUGAAUUAAGAUAUGUAUGUUAUUAUAUAUUAAUCGCAUAGUGUAUAAUUAAUAUAUAUUUUACAUAUAUAAAGAGAGAAACAAAAACAGAGAAAGAAUAACUAUACUUACCAUAACCACUGUGUAGCAUAACAUUAAAUAAUUACUAAUCAUGUGAAAAGACCAGAAAAUAUGACCUAACAUCAAGAAAAAGACCAGCCAGUUGAAAUAAAAUGACCUCAACAUUGG
This 1218-nucleotide long non-coding RNA is filed under the name Vulpes vulpes (red fox). Its description in RNAcentral is "lncRNA (ENSVVUG00000018370.1)". Lineage: Eukaryota; Metazoa; Chordata; Mammalia; Carnivora; Canidae. The record is from RNAcentral.